RNAcentral lists this long non-coding RNA (1429 nucleotides) under Capra hircus (goat). RNAcentral's name for it is "lncRNA (ENSCHIG00000006872.1)". The record is from RNAcentral. Lineage: Eukaryota; Metazoa; Chordata; Mammalia; Artiodactyla; Bovidae.
GGAAUGACUCUCCUUAUUUUACAGAUGCUGAAACUGAGGCACUGAGACAUAAAAGCAGGAGCAUGAAUAUUCUAGAGCAAGUCACUGGUAGAACCUGGGAGCCUACAGUCUUAGAAUCUAACUGGACUGAAUCCAAUUGAGUUAGGAGCCAUCCACUUCCCUGAUGACUCAGUGGUAAAGAAUCUGGCUGCAAUACAAAAGACUCAAGAGACAUGGGUUCAAUCCCUGGGUCAGCAAGAUCCCCUGGAUGAGGGCACGGCCACCCACUCCAGUAUUCUUGCCUGGAGAAUCCCAUGGAUAGAGGAGCCUAGUGGACUCAGUCCAUGGGGUUGCAAAGAGUCAACUUAUCAUGCACACACAUACUGAGGACACAGAUGUUAAUGAGAGCUCUUGUCAACCAGAUCCCAGAAAUGAAUAAGAGGGAAAUUUAUUGGAGAACUUUAUUUGGACUGGAGGACCCAUUUGUGCUGUCUCUGGCAGAAGAAUACACUUCAUCAAACGUGUCUGCAGGUUGUCAAACUCAGGGAGGUUUGGGGACCCUCUGAGGCUGUCAUGGUCAACAAGAAGAUUUUCUGUCGGGCUUUGCCAUCACUCACCCUGAGGAAAUAAUCACUCACUACAUUCUGCAUGUUCUCAUGAUAGAGCUCUCCAUUUGAGAGAAAAGAGCCAUUUUAUCAAAGGACAAUAUAGCCCUUCUCUGGGUCCAUGUAGCUUCCAUUAUCAGACCAUAAUAAAUCAUAUUUAUGUUCUCAGUUAAUAAGACUGAUUACAACGCAGGUUUCAGACGUGGGAAAAGCAAAGCAGGUUGAAAAGAUGUUUUAAUGAAAAUAUGAUAAGAAAACAGCUUCUUGUGAACAUUCAGUGCUCUUAUUUGUAAUGAUUACAGACAAUUUUUGAUGCAUGUUUAGCAAUGGUUUAAGCUGCAUAAAUUGGCUCACUGGUAGAUAAGUAAAAAUAAUAAGGAAAAAAAAUCAUGAAAUCAUCUUAUGUUGUCUAGAAUCAUUAUGUACAUAACAAGUGCAAAAUGAGUCUAAUGUAUAUGCUGGGGAUGGAGGGAAAACAGAUUGCUCAGGAAAAGCAUGGUUUGGGUAUUAUUCAAAAUGAUUUAGAAAUUUUCUCCUCAUCUCACUUAUUAAAGUUGUGUGUGCUCUGAAAUUUGGGGGUGCCAGAUAUUAAUUUCAUCUUGUAAAUGAAUCAACUCUACCUCUUUUAUUCAAUCUCAAUGUUGUUUUUCCCUUUCUUUCUUUUUUUUCCCCUCCAUGGAGCUCAAUACAGAGACAUAUAUUUCCUACCCAAUGUUUGGACACAAUUGCCAUUAGUGCUAAUGGGAGUUAAGUGCCUACUUGGGAGGAAAACAGAACCCAAAGUUUAAUAUUGAAAAGUAUCUUAUUAAAAAGGUCUGGACAUUUUUAGCUUCAGUGAGUUCAAU